AGCUCCAAUAGCGUAUAUUUAAGUUGUUGCAGUUAAAAAGCUCGUAGUUGAACCUUGGGCCUAGCCGGCCGGUCCGCCUCACCGCGUGCACUGGCUCGGUUGGGCCUUUCCUUCUGGAGAACCGCAUGCCCUUCACUGGGUGUGCUGGGGAACCAGGACUUUUACUCUGAACAAAUUAGAUCGCUUAAAGAAGGCCUAUGCUCGAAUACAUUAGCAUGGAAUAAUAGAAUAGGACGUGCAGUUCUAUUUUGUUGGUUUCUAGGACCGCCGUAAUGAUUAAUAGGGACAGUCGGGGGCAUCAGUAUUCAAUCGUCAGAGGUGAAAUUCUUGGAUUGAUUGAAGACUAACUACUGCGAAAGCAUUUGCCAAGGAUGUUUUCA
This 380-nucleotide ribosomal RNA is filed under the name uncultured eukaryote. RNAcentral describes it as "SSU rRNA". It matches the Rfam family "Eukaryotic small subunit ribosomal RNA", at positions 587 to 972 of the family's 1831-position model. The record is from RNAcentral.